UGCUUCUCUGGAUGAGUUGCGAACGGGUGAGUAACGCGUAGGUAACCUGCCUGGUAGCGGGGGAUAGCUAUUGGAAACGAUAGCUAAUACCGCAUAAUAGUAGAUGUUGCAUGACAUUUACUUAAAAGGUGCAAUUGCAUCACUACCAGAUGGACCUGCGUUGUAUUAGCUAGUUGGUGGGGUAACGGCUCACCAAGGCGACGAUACAUAGCCGACCUGAGAGGGUGAUCGGCCACACUGGGACUGAGACACGGCCCAGACUCCUACGGGAGGCAGCAGUAGGGAAUCUUCGGCAAUGGACGGAAGUCUGACCGAGCAACGCCGCGUGAGUGAAGAAGGUUUUCGGAUCGUAAAGCUCUGUUGUAAGAGAAGAACGAGUGUGAGAGUGGAAAGUUCACACUGUGACGGUAUCUUACCAGAAAGGGACGGCUAACUACGUGCCAGCAGCCGCGGUAAUACGUAGGUCCCGAGCGUUGUCCGGAUUUAUUGGGCGUAAAGCGAGCGCAGGCGGUUAGAUAAGUCUGAAGUUAAAGGCUGUGGCUUAACCAUAGUACGCUUUGGAAACUGUUUAACUUGAGUGCAAGAGGGGAGAGUGGAAUUCCAUGUGUAGCGGUGAAAUGCGUAGAUAUAUGGAGGAACACCGGUGGCGAAAGCGGCUCUCUGGCUUGUAACUGACGCUGAGGCUCGAAAGCGUGGGGAGCAAACAGGAUUAGAUAACCUGGUAGUCCACGCCGUAAACGAUGAGUGCUAGGUGUUAGACCC
RNAcentral lists this ribosomal RNA (762 nucleotides) under uncultured Streptococcus sp. RNAcentral describes it as "bacterial SSU rRNA". It matches the Rfam family "Bacterial small subunit ribosomal RNA", at positions 80 to 830 of the family's 1533-position model. Lineage: Bacteria; Bacillati; Bacillota; Bacilli; Lactobacillales; Streptococcaceae. The record is from RNAcentral.